CAAAUGAACGCCGCUAAACUAGACCUUAUAAGGCUUUGAAUAUUGCGUUACUGAAUGCAGUUAUGUUACUGAAGCCAGCAACCUCAGAGUUGUUAAACAAGCUUUGUUGUAGUUAGCCUACCACUAAUAUAUUUUGUCAUGCUAACAGGUUAGAGAUAAUGGUGACGAGCGUUCGCUGGAGCAGAGGGCGACUGCAUCAAUCUGGAGUGGUGGAUGAGAUGCUUUUGCUCAUUAGCGAGUUAGUUCAGGAAGCCAACAACAACCUGUUGCUUCUGGUUUCACCGUACCUCGAAUGGGAGGACAGACUGGAGGAAGGCCUUACCCUCCUGCUGGCCUUAACUUCUCUGCUAAACAGAUUCCGGAGAUCGUGGGUGUCUCAAGAAGAACAGUGAACCGACGGUUAAGACAGCACAAUUUCAUCUUUUACAGACCAGAUGAUGCACUUGAUCUGAAGGUGCUGCUAUUCGGAGUAUGUCCCACAGGCUUCGGAGGAGAACCCAUCGAGUGGCAGGGUCAAAUUCGCUGUGGUAUCUUGAUCGCAACCACAAGCUCUUAAAGUAAGUGGCUUGUUUUACUGUGAUUCGUUAAUUUGCCCUAACUGUGUCCCUAGCCAAUGACAAGCUGAUUAUUUUAUUAGUUUUGAAUUUAAAAUAAGAUUUCAGCUUCACAUGAAUGGAAUAGAGGUUGGACUUUUCUUUCUGUUAAACGCCCAACAUGUUGCACAGAAAUGUACACAAAUCAUUUUGGCUGCAUUCAAGCCAUUCAUAUUUUUUUUGUUAUUUAUAAAAUAAGAUGUGCAAUUGAAAUCUUUCGUUUUCCCUUCCUUCCUCUCUUAGGCGGAGGAUUGUAAUCCAUGGAAGAAUCGAUGGGAUCAGCCGACUGGUGGUUUUCCUGAAGGCUUCUAACAACAACAGAAGUGACAUUGUAACAGACCUGUUUUCGGAAGCAGUCGCCCAGUUUGGUGUCCCAUCCAGAGUCACAUCUGACUAUGGAGGGGAAAACAACGCCAUUUGUCUCCUCAUGGAUGUCUUCCGAGGAUCAACCCGAGGGAGCACUCAUAAUCAACGCAUUGAAAGACUGUGGGGCGAUAUCUGGAGAGGCGUGACAAAAAAAACGCAGAGUCCUACGUAGUGUGGUCAGGUCUGCUGAGUUUAUCAUCGACAGGAAGCUCCCAGCCCUACAGGACACCUACCACACACGAUGCCUCAGGAAAGCUGGCAAGAUUCUAAAAGACUGCUACCACCCAUCUUUCAGUCUCUACCCCGCUGCUUUCUUGACAGCUGGCAGGAUUCUAAAAGACUGCUACCACCCAUCUUUCAGUAUCUACCCC
This is a long non-coding RNA of Hypomesus transpacificus, 1330 nucleotides long. RefSeq lists it as uncharacterized. The record is from RefSeq and is a predicted model, not a curated record. NCBI's taxonomy places the organism in Eukaryota, Metazoa, Chordata, Actinopteri, Osmeriformes, Osmeridae. The transcript is spliced from 3 exons.